This is a long non-coding RNA of Dreissena polymorpha, 174 nucleotides long. RefSeq lists it as uncharacterized. The transcript has 2 exons. The record is from RefSeq and is a predicted model, not a curated record. Lineage: Eukaryota; Metazoa; Mollusca; Bivalvia; Myida; Dreissenidae.
GCACCUUGAUGAGUUCUACACGCCACAUCCAUUUUUGGGUCACUAGGUCAAAGGUCAAGGUCACUGUGACCUCUAAUAUAAAACUUUAACAUAGGCUCUAAAAUCAAAGUGCUUCCACCUACAACUUUGAAACUUCAUAUGUAGAUGCACCUUGAUGAGUUCUACACGCCACAC